This 973-nucleotide long non-coding RNA is filed under the name Helianthus annuus (common sunflower). RNAcentral describes it as "hypothetical non coding rna". Lineage: Eukaryota; Viridiplantae; Streptophyta; Magnoliopsida; Asterales; Asteraceae. The record is from RNAcentral.
UUAAAACUUAUGUGAUAUAGUAUAUGUAUUAUUUUUUUUUUCUAAAAACUCUGCAUGUACAAAAACAUCUUAAGCAAUCUUUUUACUUGAAAAGUUAAAAGAUUUUGUUCCUCUUUUCACUUCUUCAUUACCGAUAAAACAAUACACUCUCUCUCAAAUCAAUUGUCCCACCCAACACAACCUUCCAUUGAAAUUCUGGCCUAACAUGACCAUCACCACCAUCGCAUCACAGCCAUCACCACAUCCCCCUGCUAUCUUGGUGUCCUACUCUUUUUGAAAGUAUAGAUCUGACCAGAUUAAAAGGGAUUAAAAGGCUAGAUCGAACAAAUCUGAAAAAACGGUAUUCAUCAUCCAUCACUGCAGCCACGUCGACCCAACCAUCUCUCUUCUGCUUCUCUGUCAUUGUCUCCACCGCUGCAACGCAACCGCCGUACAAAGACGUUGGUGCUUUGUGGCGCCGUAACCGUCUAAAUUCUUCCGACCGGGAUUUUUUUUGGUGAUGGCGGUGGGGUUAUAUAGGGUGUGAAACGGUGGCAAACGACGGGAAACGGUAGGAGACGCGUCGUUCUGUGUUAUUUUUUUAACGAUGCGCGUUGCUUUGGUCAUCAACUGCAAAGUUGCAACGGUUUGGUUGUUCAUUCAUUUUUUGAAAGGUUAUGUCAGUUUUUGUGGAUUUGGAUAUAAAAUCUGAUUUGUAUUGUGUUGUACGGCGCAUCGGGUUGGAUGUAAAGCAAAGCUUCUUUUGAAUGAAUCGGUGCCUUUCGUUGAUCAAGAGAUGCGACGGUGUGUCAAAAGCAAUUAUUCCGAAGAGUAACGUUUAUGUAAAGGAUGUUGGUAAAUGAGUCGGUGCCUAUUAUUUAAUGAAUGGUUGCUUUUUGAGUGAAGUGAUGCCAUGUGUAUAAAUGGCAACCGCACUUGCUAAUCGUUGCCUUUUGUUUAAUUAACAAAGCGAUGUGUCUUAAGUUAUGAAACG